RNAcentral lists this ribosomal RNA (166 nucleotides) under Bacillus safensis. Its description in RNAcentral is "partial 23S ribosomal RNA". It matches the Rfam family "Bacterial large subunit ribosomal RNA", at positions 1613 to 1778 of the family's 2925-position model. The record is from RNAcentral. Lineage: Bacteria; Bacillati; Bacillota; Bacilli; Caryophanales; Bacillaceae.
AAAAGCCUCUAGCGAGGUGAGAGGUGCCCGUACCGCAAACCGACACAGGUAGGCGAGGAGAGAAUCCUAAGGUGAUCGAGAGAACUCUCGUUAAGGAACUCGGCAAAAUGACCCCGUAACUUCGGGAGAAGGGGUGCUUCUUAGGGUGUUAAAGCCCCGAGAAGCC